GAUGAACGCUGGCGGCGUGCCUAAUACAUGCAAGUCGAGCGAACAGACGAGGAGCUUGCUCCUCUGACUUUAGCGGCGGACGGGUGAGUAACACGUGGAUAACCUACCUAUAAGACUGGGAUAACUUCGGGAAACCGGAUCUAAUACCGGAUAAUAUAUUGAACCGCAUGGUUCAAUAGUGAAAUACGGUUUUGCUGUCACUUAUAGAUGGAUCCGCGCCGCAUUAGCUAGUUGGUAAGGUAACCGCUUACCAAGGCAACGAUGCGUAGCCGACCUGAGAGGGGGAUCGGCCACAUUGGAACUGAGACACGGUCCAGACUCCUACGGGAGGCAGCAGUAGGGAAUCUUCGGAAAUGGGCGAAAGCCUGACGGAGCAACGCCGCGUGAGUGAUGAAGGUCUUGGGAUCUUAAAACUCUGUUAUUAGGGAAGAAAAAAUGUGUACGUAAAUAUGCACGUCUUGACGGUACCUAAUCAGAAAGCCACGGCUAACUACGUG
Molecule: ribosomal RNA, 497 nt
Filed under: uncultured bacterium
Lineage: Bacteria
Description: partial 16S ribosomal RNA
Rfam family: Bacterial small subunit ribosomal RNA
Source: RNAcentral